GUUCCGAUAGCCUAGUGGUUAGAGCGUCCGCCUCGGAUGCGGAAGGUCGUGGGUUCGAUCCCCGGUCGAGUCA
Non-coding RNA from Potamilus streckersoni, 73 nucleotides. Lineage: Eukaryota; Metazoa; Mollusca; Bivalvia; Unionida; Unionidae. The record is from the annotation of a GenBank genome assembly.